UGGUAAGGGUAAGUCAUCGGUUCAAAUCCGAUAAAGGGCU
RNAcentral lists this transfer RNA (40 nucleotides) under Pleurothallopsis nemorosa. RNAcentral describes it as "partial tRNA-Thr". The record is from RNAcentral. Lineage: Eukaryota; Viridiplantae; Streptophyta; Magnoliopsida; Asparagales; Orchidaceae.